Long non-coding RNA from Helianthus annuus (common sunflower), 1698 nucleotides. RefSeq lists it as uncharacterized. The record is from RefSeq and is a predicted model, not a curated record. NCBI's taxonomy places the organism in Eukaryota, Viridiplantae, Streptophyta, Magnoliopsida, Asterales, Asteraceae. The transcript has 8 exons.
UGGGUUUUUAACGCACAGAUUUAAUCAUUUGGAUCAUAUAAAAACUUAUGUCUCAAUUGAAACCCUAGCCUCCCUCACAAUCAUCUCUACUGGAUUCAUCAUCUUCUCCAAACAAUUCAACAAGGAAGAGAGAUGUGAUCUUCAUCAUUGUCAUGGCUGGAGGACGGUUGCGACCACCGAUGGGAUCCCCAUCAAUGAUGUUACAGAUUCAGUGAUCUAAAAUCGUUAUUUCCACGAUUGUGAUACAGAAUUGAAGAACGGAUCAAUCUUUAUUUGUUAUUGAAACCCUAACUUUCGAAAAGCGAUUUUGAUUCCAUCGAUCUUGCCUAAAUCCCAUUUACGAUUUCUGGUUCAAGCUAUCUUUUCUAAACAAUUUUGAAAAUCGAAGGUAUGUUUUUUUGAUUUCUUCAUCAUCUAUUUUAGAUUUGUUUUGUGAUUCGUUCAUCUAGGAUAAUUCCAUUUGGUCUCAAUUGAUUGAUCUUCCGGUGUUUCGUGGCAAGUUUGUUUCUGGUAGGAUUGCAACGUUGAGUUCGGCUUUUGAAAAGGAUUGGAUGACAGAGGAGACAAUAGUUGAUGUUCCUUGGGAAUGGGCUAUUACCAGUGAACCAAAGUUGUGGAUGUGGAUUUGAUAAAAUUUUCAAAUAGAGAACUAGCCAUGGGAAUUUUAAAUGCUCUUAAUGGAAUAUAUAGAAUGAGAGUGAGAAAAUUCAAUUCCAUGUUAUAGUCAUGGAUUAUAUUGCAAUCGUUGUUGAUAUUCCUCCAUUUUCCUUCUUUUAUUUAGUUUAUACAUCUCAAUGUUAAAUCAAAUUAUAUAUUUAUUACUUUUAGAUUUUUUUUUUGUUUUCUUAAUUUGACCAGGGGAUCCUACAGUAUGUGGCCUUGUGUUUAAUCCUCUGAAGGCAUUGACUUCGAGCUCUUUGUUUUCUUUCAACGAGGGCAGCUCUUUACCAAAUAGUGUAAAGUGAUUAUAUGGCUCCUGAAGUUAUAAAACACAACUAUGGCUCAGAGGUUGAUGUAUGGAGUGCAUGAGCUAUCAUGUACAUUUUGAUUUGUGGUGGUUUGUCGUUUUGGGCAGAAUAAUGAUGGAUAAUGGUAGAAGGUGCCAAAACGAAAUCCAACAACAAAACAAGAAGGUUAGCGAAUUUUUAAUGCUGGUCGGAACAGUUUGUACCUUUGGUUGAUUUUGAUCGACAACUACCAACAAGUCCUUUUAGGCAUUGAUUUUGCGACAAGAUAGGCACCUUAAAAGAAAUUCAAAGAGUGUAUGACGGCUCAUGCUUGACAUUUUGAUCGUUAUCCUGAGACUAUAUGAGCCAACAAUUCGAUAUCGAUGAGAAUAUGCGAGUUGUGCUGAUUGACAGGCUCAUUGAGGUUUUCCAGUGAGUGUGGAUUUGCGCAAACAAAGUGCAUUUUGUAUAUUACUAGGUUAUAACCCGCGAACUUCGCGGGUAGAAAAAAUUACUUUAUAUUAAUCGAACUAUGUCAUUAAAUAAAAUAAAAAGACAUGUUUUCAAACGUAAUUUUGUUUUAUAAUUGUUUUGAAUUGAAAGUUGUAGUCAAUUAAGGUUGUUAGUAGGGUCAACAUUUUUGAACAAAAACAUAGAUCAAGUACCCUUUGAUAUUAAUGCUCAACUCUGUAAUAAGAUUUUAAAAAAUACGAUCAAUACGAAGGGUUUACAUCACGACAACGCAAACCCU